GAUACCUAUGUCUACCUGUGUAUAAAGAGAUCGCCAUUAGACAUGUGUCUUAAAAAGAACUGUUGAUUAAAUCUAUCUAUAUGUGCAGAUGGACAUUUUGAAGUUCUCCUAUGUCAAAAGAAUUCUGAUCUUCGAAGUCCACAUAUUUUAGGAUCGUAUGUCACUGGAAAGUCCACUAUGUCUCCAUAAUAUCAGUGUUUACAGCACUAACUAAAGGACGUGCUGGAUGAGAUACCUAUGUCUACCUGUGUAUAAAGAGAUCUCCAUCAGACCUGUGUCCUAAAAAGAACUGUUGAUUAAAUCUCUCUGUAUGUGCAUAUGGACAUUUUGAAGUUCUCCUAUGUCAAAAGAAUUCUGAUCUUUGAAGUCCACAUAUUUUAGGAUCGUAUGUCACUGGAAAGUCCACUAUGUCUCCAUAAUAUCAGUGUUUACAGCACUAACUAAAGGACGUGCUGGGUGAGAUACCUAUGUCUACCUGUGUAUAAAGAGAUCUCCAUCAGACCUGUGUCCUAAAAAGAACUGUUGAUUAAAUCUCUCUGUAUGUGCAUAUGGACAUUUUGAAGUUCUCCUAUGUCAAAAGAAUUCUGAUCUUUGAAGUCCACAUAUUUUAGGAUCGUAUGUCACUGGAAAGUCCACUAUGUCUCCAUAAUAUCAGUGUUUACAGCACUAACUAAAGGACGUGCUGGGUGAGAUACCUAUGUCUACCUGUGUAUAAAGAGAUCUCCAUCAGACCUGUGUCCUAAAAAGAACUGUUGAUUAAAUCUCUCUGUAUGUGCAUAUGGACAUUUUGAAGUUCUCCUGUGUCAAAAGAAUUCUGAUCUUUGAAGUCCACAUAUUU
This is a long non-coding RNA of Pecten maximus, 838 nucleotides long. RefSeq lists it as uncharacterized. Lineage: Eukaryota; Metazoa; Mollusca; Bivalvia; Pectinida; Pectinidae. The transcript is spliced from 4 exons. The record is from RefSeq and is a predicted model, not a curated record.